AACGAACGCUGGCGGCAUGCCUAACACAUGCAAGUCGAACGAGAUCUUCGGGUCUAGUGGCGCACGGGUGCGUAACGCGUGGGAAUCUGCCCUUUGGUUCGGAAUAACAGUUGGAAACGACUGCUAAUACCGGAUGAUGACGAAAGUCCAAAGAUUUAUCGCCAGAGGAUGAGCCCGCGUAGGAUUAGCUAGUUGGUGUGGUAAAGGCGCACCAAGGCGACGAUACUUAGCUGGUCUGAGAGGAUGAACAGCCACACUGGGACUGAGACACGGCCCAGACCCCUACGGGAGGCAGCAGUGGGGAAUAUUGGACAAUGGGCGAAAGCCUGAUCCAGCAAUGCCGCGUGAGUGAUGAAGGCCUUAGGGUUGUAAAGCUCUUUUACCCGGGAUGAUAAUGACAGUACCGGGAGAAUAAGCUCCGGCUAACUCCGUGCCAGCCGCCGCAGUAA
Molecule: ribosomal RNA, 449 nt
Filed under: uncultured bacterium
Lineage: Bacteria
Description: partial 16S ribosomal RNA
Rfam family: Bacterial small subunit ribosomal RNA
Source: RNAcentral